UACGGGGGGGGCAAGCGUUGUUCGGAAUUACUGGGCGUAAAGGGCUCGUAGGCGGCCAACUAAGUCGGAUGUGAAAUCCCCAAGCUUAACUUGGGAACUGCAUCCGAUACUGGAUGGCUUGUAUCCGGGAGAGGGAUGCAGAAUUCCAGGUGUAGCGGUGAAAUGCGUAGAUAUUGGGAAGAACACCGGUGGCGAAGGCGGCGCUCUGGACCGAGACUGACGCUGAGGCGCGAAAGCGUGGGGAGCAAACAGG
RNAcentral lists this ribosomal RNA (253 nucleotides) under uncultured bacterium. Its description in RNAcentral is "partial 16S ribosomal RNA". It matches the Rfam family "Bacterial small subunit ribosomal RNA", at positions 524 to 776 of the family's 1533-position model. The record is from RNAcentral.